This 1365-nucleotide long non-coding RNA is filed under the name Brassica napus (rape). RNAcentral describes it as "long non-coding RNA (BNAP_LNC005684)". Lineage: Eukaryota; Viridiplantae; Streptophyta; Magnoliopsida; Brassicales; Brassicaceae. The record is from RNAcentral.
CCUUGAUACAAAACCGAGUACCUUUGCAUCUCUUUCCAAGACAGUUUGUUCUUCUUCAUCCCUAUUUACACUUUCCAAAGGCUCAUCUUCAUCUUCUCUGUUAACGCUCUCAGGUGAGCAAAACCCAACUUCUUCCUCACAGCUAGCUUUCAAAUCUUCCAACGCAUCCACUUUGGGAGAAGAGCAAUCAUUUUUCUCACAUGUAAUUUGUUGUUCAUCAUUUUCUCCAUCCUUGGUUUGAAGACCAUCUCUUUCCACCACCAAAUUAUUCUGCUGCUCAUCACCAUCCCUAAAGGCCUCAGUUUUAUAUUCAUCUUCCACAUCCAUCUUCUUGGGGUAUCUUAAAAAGUCAUCUCUAUUCCCAUCUCCACGAUGAAUUGCUAACAUGUCUCCCUGCCUAUCCAUCCCUAUUUAAAACCCAGCUUUAUGCUGCUCAAACAACAUCAGCAGAAUCAAUAACCCCCAAACUUCUGCUAAAAAUAAAAAUAAUAACAUCAACAUCCAUCAAAGAGGAGAAUAUUAGCAAUAACACAAAGAUGAUGAUGAUGAUGAACUUGACCCCAAAAAAACAAAGAAAAACACUUAACUGCCUCAGGAGAGUCUUGCUCUCCUGUAACUUCUAUCAUUUCCAUCUUUCUAAUAACUGAGUUAUCAACUUGCGGGUUAUCUUCACCAUCCUUUCCAAAAACCCUGUUCCCAUCUCCAUUUCCGCAUCUGUUACUAGUUCCUGUAUCUUCUUCAGUUCCAACCACAUCAAAAUGACCAUUUGACACUUUUGUAUCCGGUGAUGAAUCUGAAGCAGAUUCUUUAUUAUCCCUUGAUACAAAACCGAGUACCUUUGCAUCUCUUUCCAAGACAGUUUGUUCUUCUUCAUCCCUAUUUACACUUUCCAAAGGCUCAUCUUCAUCUUCUCUGUUAACGCUCUCAGGUGAGCAAAACCCAACUUCUUCCUCACAGCUAGCUUUCAAAUCUUCCAACGCAUCCACUUUGGGAGAAGAGCAAUCAUUUUUCUCACAUGUAAUUUGUUGUUCAUCAUUUUCUCCAUCCUUGGUUUGAAGACCAUCUCUUUCCACCACCAAAUUAUUCUGCUGCUCAUCACCAUCCCUAAAGGCCUCAGUUUUAUAUUCAUCUUCCACAUCCAUCUUCUUGGGGUAUCUUAAAAAGUCAUCUCUAUUCCCAUCUCCACGAUGAAUUGCUAACACGUCUCCCUGCCUAUCCAUCCCUAUUUAAAACCCAGCUUUAUGCAGCUCAAACAACAUCAGUAGAACCCCCAAACUUCUGCUAAAAAUAAAAAUAAUAACAUCAACAUCCAUCAAAGAGGAGAAUAUUAGCAAUAACACAAAGAUGAUGAUGAUGAACUUGACC